Molecule: non-coding RNA, 868 nt
Filed under: Lynchius parkeri (Parker's Andes frog)
Lineage: Eukaryota; Metazoa; Chordata; Amphibia; Anura; Strabomantidae
Description: partial 12S ribosomal RNA
Rfam family: Bacterial small subunit ribosomal RNA
Source: RNAcentral
ACCCCCGUGAAAAUGCCCUUACAACCUAACAGGAAUGAGGAGCUGGUAUCAGGCACAAAAUUUGCCCAAGACACCUAGCCACGCCACACCCACAAGGGUUCUCAGCAGUGAUAAAAAUUGUUUAUGAGCGUCAGCUCGACUCAGUUAAAGUAAAGAGGGCCGGCAAAUCUGGUGCCAGCCGCCGCGGUUACACCAAAGGCUCAAAUUGAUUUUGUUCGGCGUAAAACGUGAUUAAAACCUUACAUAAACAUUAGAGUUAAACUUAAACUAGGCUGUCGCAAGCUUGCAGUUGGGAAAACCAGAAACGAAAGUUACUCUAACUACCCCUACUUGAACUCACGAAAACUUGAUUACAAACUAAGAUUAGAUACCUUACUAUGCAAGUCGUAAACUUUUAUUUUACACUCAAAUCGCCAGGGUAUUACGAGCAAAGCUUAAAACCCAAAGGACUUGACGGUACCCCAUAUCCACCUAGAGGAGCCUGUCCUAUAAUUGAUAACCCCCGCUAAACCUCACCACCAUUAGCUUCCUCAGCCUGUAUACUUCCGUCGUCAGCCUACCCCGUGAGCGAAAUUAAGUCAGCAUAACGUCCAUCCGCCAAUACGUCAGGUCAAGGUGCAGCAAACAUGGUGGGAAGAGAUGGGCUACACUUUCUAGCUUAGAACACACGAAAGACUAACAUGAAAACCAAGUCAGAAGGUGGAUUUAGUAGUAAAAAGAAAAUAGAGUGUUCUUUUUAAAUCGGCCCUGGGGUGUGUACACACCGCCCGUCACCCUCUUCGUAGCGUAAACUAAGUAUUUAACAAUUCCUAGCACUGAAGAAGAGGUAAGUCGUAACAUGGUAAGUAUACCGGAAGGUGUUCUUGGA